GCAAGUCGAACGGCAGCAUGAUAAGAGCUUGCUCUAUUGAUGGCGAGUGGCGGACGGGUGAGUAAUAUGUAGGAAUCUACCUAGAGGUGCGGGAUAACUUAGGGAAACUUAAGCUAAUACCACAUAAGCCCCAAGGGGGAAAGCAGGGGAUCUUCGGACCUUGCGCCUUAUGAUGAGCCUACAUCGGAUUAGCUUGUUGGUGGGGUAAAGGCCUACCAAGGCGACGAUCCGUAGCUGGUCUGAGAGGAUGAUC
RNAcentral lists this ribosomal RNA (253 nucleotides) under uncultured bacterium. Its description in RNAcentral is "partial 16S ribosomal RNA". It matches the Rfam family "Bacterial small subunit ribosomal RNA", at positions 57 to 305 of the family's 1533-position model. The record is from RNAcentral.